Molecule: signal recognition particle RNA, 100 nt
Filed under: Acetilactobacillus jinshanensis
Lineage: Bacteria; Bacillati; Bacillota; Bacilli; Lactobacillales; Lactobacillaceae
Also listed under: 1 other name
Description: Bacterial small signal recognition particle RNA
Rfam family: Bacterial small signal recognition particle RNA
About the family: The signal recognition particle (SRP) is a universally conserved ribonucleoprotein involved in the co-translational targeting of proteins to membranes. Archaeal SRP consists of a 7S RNA and homologues of the eukaryotic SRP19 and SRP54 proteins.
Source: Rfam by way of RNAcentral
GAAAGGCCCUGAAGCAAAGGUGUCCUUAUGAACUGUGUCAGGCCCGAGAGGGAGCAGCACUAAGUAAGACUCACCCUGUGCUUCUCGUUGAUUUGAAAUU